UUAUCUUCCUCAGGGUGAACAGGCACAGCGCUGAUUCUUUGGGUGGUUUGGCCCGAUUCUUCUGACCCUGAGAGAAGAUUGUGAAGAGGAUGUCUUCAUUCUCAGAGAUCCCCAGAGAGUUGGCCAGCUGCCGGCCUGGCCGAGCCAAGAACGCAUCCUGCACUAGGCGGUACUCUACCCCGUCUUUGGUGCAGCCGAUGGGGAACUCGACGUAAGAGUAAAACUUAGGGUCGUCAACACAGAGGCGGACAAUCUUAGAAGUGAAGAACUGCUCUCCGCUGGCGUCAGUGUUGCACGCCUUCAUCAGGAAUAUCAUCUGUAGAGACACGAGGUGGGAGCCCUGGAAAGAGAAAAAAAAAACAUGGCUUGAAACAAAAGCCGGCACAAGGACGAGUACAAACUGCCAGACAAUAAACUCACACAUUCAAGGACUGGAGCGGCAAUGAGUGCAAGGACAACUGCUUUUCUGACACCCUGUGUGCUGUGUGGAUUUCAGUGUGUGUGUGUGUGUGUGUGUGUGUGCGUGCUUGUGCGUGUGGGUGUGUGUUUUAGAGAGAGAGACAGCUGCCACCCUGAGACAGUAGACAGACUGUGGGCACUACAUCAUACAAAUUCUGCCUCACCGACUCCUUCCCUGCGACAAUAAACACACUCACACUCUUGAGUUUUCAGAGGUAAAUGGGAUUAUAUGCUGACAGACGUUACUUCACAGACACAGCAUGUGUAAUGUGUGUAUGUGUUCCUCUGUGUGGAGGGAGGGGGUCAUAAA
Molecule: long non-coding RNA, 769 nt
Organism: Notolabrus celidotus (New Zealand spotty)
Lineage: Eukaryota; Metazoa; Chordata; Actinopteri; Labriformes; Labridae
Exons: 3
Source: RefSeq, a predicted model, not a curated record